Molecule: ribosomal RNA, 479 nt
Filed under: uncultured bacterium
Lineage: Bacteria
Description: partial 16S ribosomal RNA
Rfam family: Bacterial small subunit ribosomal RNA
Source: RNAcentral
ACGCUGGCGGCAGGCCUAACACAUGCAGGUCGAGCGGAUGAAGGGAGCUUGCUCCUGGAUUCAGCGGCGGACGGGUGAGUAAUGCCUAGGAAUCUGCCUGGUAGUGGGGGAUAACGUCCGGAAACGGGCGCUAAUACCGCAUACGUCCUGAGGGAGAAAGUGGGGGAUCUUCGGACCUCACGCUAUCAGAUGAGCCUAGGUCGGAUUAGCUAGUUGGUGGGGUAAAGGCCUACCAAGGCGACGAUCCGUAACUGGUCUGAGAGGAUGAUCAGUCACACUGGAACUGAGACACGGUCCAGACUCCUACGGGAGGCAGCAGUGGGGAAUAUUGGACAAUGGGCGAAAGCCUGAUCCAGCCAUGCCGCGUGUGUGAAGAAGGUCUUCGGAUUGUAAAGCACUUUAAGUUGGGAGGAAGGGCAGUAAGUUAAUACCUUGCUGUUUUGACGUUACCAACAGAAUAAGCACCGGCUAACUUCGUG